UACCAGCUCUUCGAGUGGUGUGGAUGUUUAUUGGGCCUAAAGCAUCCGUAGCUGGCUGGGCAAGUCCCCUGUUAAAUCCACCGAUUUAAUCGUUGGAGUGCGGGGGAUACUGUUCGGCUAGGGGACGGGAGAGGCAGACGGUAUUUUCGGGGUAGGGGUGAAAUCCUAUAAUCCCGGGAAGACCACCAGUGGCGAAGGCUGUCUGCUAGAACGCGCCCGACGGUGAGGGAUGAAAGCUGGGGGAGCGAACCGGAUUAGAUACCCGGGUAGUCCCAGCUGUAAACGAUGCAGGCUAGGUGUUUGGGCGGCCACGUGCCGCUCUAGUGCCGCAGGGAAGCCGUUAAGCCUGCCGCCUGGGGAGUACGGCCGCAAGGCUGAAACUUAAGGAAUUGGCAGGGGAGCACCACAAGGGGUGAAGCUUGCGGUUU
This 428-nucleotide ribosomal RNA is filed under the name uncultured archaeon. RNAcentral describes it as "bacterial SSU rRNA". It matches the Rfam family "Archaeal small subunit ribosomal RNA", at positions 474 to 903 of the family's 1478-position model. The record is from RNAcentral.